This is a non-coding RNA of Chlorocebus sabaeus (green monkey), 1853 nucleotides long. The record is from the annotation of a RefSeq genome assembly. NCBI's taxonomy places the organism in Eukaryota, Metazoa, Chordata, Mammalia, Primates, Cercopithecidae.
UUUGAGCGUCAGGCAGCACAACUCACAUUUGUGCAGAGAGCCACAUACCGCAUGCUGUUCUCCAGCUUGCUGUGCGUAUUUGUGGCCUUCAGCUACUCUGGAUCCAGUGUGGCCCAGAAGGUUACUCAAGCCCAGUCAUCAGUAUCCAUGACAGUGGGGAAAGCAGUCACCCUGAACUGCCAGUAUGAAACAAGUUCGUGGUCAUAUGACCUUUUUUGGUACAAGCAACUUCCCAGCAAAGAGAUGAUUUUCCUUAUUCGCCAGGGUUCUUCUGAACAGAAUGCAAGAAAUGGUCGCUAUUCUGUCAACUUCGAGAAAGCAGCUAGCUCCAUCGCCUUAACCAUUUCAGCCUUACAGCUAGAAGACUCAGCAACGUACUUCUGUGCUCUCUGGGAACUCACAGUGUUUGAAGUGAUAGUAAAAGCAAAACAAAAACCCUAGGGCUCGACAAGAGAACCCUCUACUCCGCAUCCUUUGCUACAGGAGCCAAUUUGAAAUGCACACCUGCAGAUCUCAGGCAAGAGAGGGUAGUGACUGUGGUCUGUGGAUUUAAUCUGUGGUCUGGAUCAGAUGAGUUAAUUCUAAGUAAAACCUCCUUCUAUCUCAUUUGGAAACAGGUGUUCAGAGCAACUUUCUUCUAAUACUUAAAUUUUUACUUAAAAUAGAUCAUACGGAAAAUGUGUAAAGUUGUCUAAGUUGGAAAGACUUCCACAUAAUAACUUAAAGUGGCAGUUUCACUUAACGAUGAUCACAGCAGAAAUCUGGGUCUAGUUAUGUUGAAUCAUAAUAAAAAUCAUUUCCUUAGCCCUUUCCUCUUAGGCUUUAUGUCAUUUAGGGUACAAUCAGGGAAGCAGAACCAUCAUGAAAGAUGUAGAAUAAGAGUAAUUAUAAGGAUUAGACCUCAUGCAAUUGCUGGAGCUGGUGGUUCUCAGAAGUUACUUAGUUGUUUAUGUUUUUAUGAAAUUAUAACAGGAAUAAAAUGUAAUAUUUUCAAAAUCUGACAUUGAGUUUUAUUUACUAGGCUGAAGAGGAUCAGGAUAUUCAUUCCUAUUGCCUUCACAAGUAGAAUAGUACUUCUUAGAUCAUGUGUCCUAGAAUUGUCCUGAUAUCACAUUUCUAUCCCAUUGAUCCAAAGUAUUCAGUCUCACUUGUUAAAUUCUGUGGCUGGGCAUGUUUUUUAUUUGUAAAAUAAAGUCGUGAUAAGCAUGCCAGAUUUCUAUGUGAUACAAUGCCAUAAUCUGCUCUUACUCCUAUGCAAAGCUGUUGUCUUUGCAUCUAGUAUUGAGCCUGAAUUUACUCUAGGUCAGCUAGACUCACAUUUGGGAAGGAGAGUUGAAUGUGGACAAGAGCAUGCAAAAACUGAUCUGUAAAGACAUUUUGGAACCCGUGGUGACAGGUGGAACCCAUGAGGACAAAGUAAAACUUGUCUCUUACCUCCUUCAAUCUCAUAGUGUUGGUGACCUUCAGAAGAAAUGGUGUUAUUUGCUAUCUUGUUCCCUGGGUGCUUAGCCCAAGAAAAAGAGAAGCUGAAAGAGGAGACCUAGGGGCAGUUGGGGAGUUGUGAAUCAACAAUAAGAUGAGUUAGCAGAUCAGUAGCAACACGUGUGAGUUGUCACCGUUCCUGGAGCCUGGCACCUGUCUUGCACAAUUUUUUUCAACUUAAUAGAGAAUAAUAUAGGGAAGGAUUUUCUUAGAAAUGUAUUUCCAGGUAGUUACGAUGAGACAGUACGAAGUUACCACAAUACCCCUACCUUGUAAACUUGACAUCCGUAUGGACCUCUUUUAAUAACACUUAGCUUUCAAAUAAAGACAAUUUUAAAAAGCAUGUUUCCUGCUAAUAUGAUGCCACUAUU